Molecule: ribosomal RNA, 497 nt
Filed under: uncultured bacterium
Lineage: Bacteria
Description: partial 16S ribosomal RNA
Rfam family: Bacterial small subunit ribosomal RNA
Source: RNAcentral
GAUGAACGCUGGCGGCGUGCCUAAUACAUGCAAGUCGAGCGAACAGACGAGGAGCUUGCUCCUCUGACGUUAGCGGCGGACGGGUGAGUAACACGUGGAUAACCUACCUAUAAGACUGGGAUAACUUCGGGAAACCGGAGCUAAUACCGGAUAAUAUAUUGAACCGCAUGGUUCAAUAGUGAAAGACGGUUUUGCUGUCACUUAUAGAUGGAUCCGCGCCGCAUUAGCUAGUUGGUAAGGUAACGGCUUACCAAGGCGACGAUGCGUGGCCGACCUGAGAGGGUGAUCGGCCACACUGGAACUGAGACACGGUCCAGACUCCUACGGGAGGCAGCAGUAGGGAAUCUUCCGCAAUGGGCGAAAGCCUGACGGAGCAACGCCGCGUGAGUGAUGAAGGUCUUCGGAUCGUAAAACUCUGUUAUUAGGGAAGAACAAAUGUGUAAGUAACUAUGCACGUCUUGACGGUACCUAAUCAGAAAGCCUCGGCUAACUACGUG